GACGAACGCUGGCGGCGUGCUUAACACAUGCAAGUCGAACGAAGAGCGAUGGAAGCUUGCUUCUCUCAAUCUUAGUGGCGAACGGGUGAGUAACGCGUAAUCAACCUGCCCUUCAGAGGGGGACAACAGUUGGAAACGACUGCUAAUACCGCAUACGAUCUAAUCUCGGCAUCGAGGAUAGAUGAAAGGUGGCCUCUACAUGUAAGCUAUCACUGAAGGAGGGGAUUGCGUCUGAUUAGCUAGUUGGAGGGGUAACGGCCCACCAAGGCGAUGAUCAGUAGCCGGUCUGAGAGGAUGAACGGCCACAUUGGGACUGAGACACGGCCCAGACUCCUACGGGAGGCAGCAGUGGGGAAUCUUCCGCAAUGGACGAAAGUCUGACGGAGCAACGCCGCGUGAGUGAUGACGGCCUUCGGGUUGUAAAGCUCUGUUAAUCGGGACGAAAGGCCUUCUUGCGAAUAGUGAGAAGGAUUGACGGUACCGGAAGAGAAAGCCACGGCUAACUACGUG
This 510-nucleotide ribosomal RNA is filed under the name uncultured bacterium. RNAcentral's name for it is "partial 16S ribosomal RNA". It matches the Rfam family "Bacterial small subunit ribosomal RNA", at positions 28 to 507 of the family's 1533-position model. The record is from RNAcentral.